UGGAGACGUGAUGGCAUCUCCCGUAUCCUUCUGGUCAGUUUUCUCAAUACAAGACGGUGUGCCAUCCCACAACGAAGACGUGAUGGCGUCUCCCGUACUGUUCUGGUUAGUUUUCUCUAGAUUUGGUUCUUUAAUUAUUUAUUUUCUUCAGAUUUUACAUGGAAGGUAAGCAUCACGUACAUGAGAAAUUUCAGGGGAUAGAAAUUAUUAAGUUCCAUAACUUCAUACUUGGAAGGUCGUGGCUGAACGGGGAAAAUCGAAAUACAUGCCGCUGAAAAGAGUUUAAUGUAGCCACAAAUCACUCGGGCUCCUAUCAAAAUCGGUCGUCUUCCUCCUUAUUUGCAUCUACCUGAGACCCCACGGAAAAUUGGCUGCAGUACUAGCCUUCCGUAGUCUCGCGGCUCGGGUUUUCUUGGCGCCUCGGCUGUGGAUCGAAAUACAUGCCGCUGAAAAGAAUUUAAUGUAGCAACAAAUUACUCGGGAUUCCUACCAAAAUCACGGUCGUCUUCCUCCUGAUUUCAUCUAGCUGAGGCGCCACGGAAGAUUGGCCGCAGUCUUGCGGCUCUGGUUUUCUUGGCGACUCGGACGUGGGGUGCGGGAGCGCUGGACUGCAUGCAGUUCCGACGGUCCAUCUUCGCAUGAUGCAUCACGUAAGAACUGAUAAUCAACAUCAACCAUUGCUUUUGAAGAUGCAGAGGGCGGACAACCAUGGAUUCCUGGUACGUUUUCAGUUCAGAGGUCAAUCAAUUGGGAUCGAGAACCUAAAAACUGGGGCCGCGUUCCAGCCAUCGAUCCUUGGCGUUCCACGUCUCCACGCCGACUAUGAGCUAUGAGCUGGACGUUGGCGAACGACAAGGAUCCAUAGUUAUAUUAAUCUACAUGAUGAAAUUGCUUGAGAUAUAGAAGAAUAUUCAACAAAGAUUAACAUGGGGCGAUCAAGUAUAGGUGCAAUCCACCUCUGUGUUUUCAGCGACAAAAUUUAAUUAAUGACUAUUCAUGUUCUUUCAGUUGGCUCUUGGUUUGUAUGGGAACAACAUAAACACUUGACCAGGAUCGUAAUUUGUUUGUACAUCCUGAUUUUAUAAGCUGCUGUUGAAACUGCACAGAAAUUGUUGGUAUUCUACAUGAAUUGGUACCAAAUCUGCAUUGGAACAAUACAAAUUUAAACGGAAGGAGGGAAUAUCGAAGACUUCCUCUCUCUCUUUAUAAUUGACAAUCAUAUGCUACUGGAGUGGCCACACACAGGCACUCUACUAUAUUUUAUUAUAAGUGCAAGCUGGAGGUGGAGAACAUGGAUUCGUACUGACAUUAAUCUCCUGAUGAUUACUUGAGAGAGGGAAUAGUAUUCAACAAAGAGUAAC
Molecule: long non-coding RNA, 1361 nt
Organism: Triticum aestivum (bread wheat)
Lineage: Eukaryota; Viridiplantae; Streptophyta; Magnoliopsida; Poales; Poaceae
Exons: 3
Source: RefSeq, a predicted model, not a curated record